CUAUAAAGGUUUAGUCCUGACCUUUUUAUUAACUAUUGCUUAACUUAUACAUGCAAGCAUCUGCGCACCAGUGAGAACACCCAAAUCAGCCCUACCGGAAAAUGGAGCCGGCAUCAGGCACAUCCACCCCAUAGCCCACGACGCCUAGCUUACAGCCACACCCCCAAGGGAGACAGCAGUAAUUGACAUUAAACCAUAAGCGAAAGCUUGAUUUAGUUAAAGCAGAGAGGGGCGGCCAAUCUCCGUGCCAGCAGCCGCGGUUAUACAGCCAUAGCCUCAAGUUAAUAAAGACGGCGUAAAUUGUGGCUAGGAUUUAAAUCUCCCAAGUUAAGGUGAAAAGGUCACCGAGCCAUGAAAAGCUUAGAAUUGAACCACUAACAUCAAUAUUAAAUUAACCUUAAUCCCCAAGACACUCCCGAACCCACGAAAGCUAGGGCACAAACUAGGAUUAGAUACCCUACUAUGCCUAGCCGUUAACAAAGGUGUAUUAAUUACAUACUACACUCGCCAGAGAAUUACGAGCCAUCGCUUAAAACUCAAAGGACUUGACGGUACUUCGCACCCACCUAGAGGAGCCUGUCCUAUAAUCGACAGUACUCGAUAUACCUUACCAACUUUUGCCUUAAACGUCUAACAGCCUGUAUACCGCCGUCGCAAACUAGCCCCCUGAGGGACAAACAAUUUAGUACAAUAGCUUAUUUGAGCUAAUACGUCAGGUCAAGGUGCAGCCAAUGAGUUGGAAGAGAUGGGCUACAUUUUCUACCACAUAGAAAUAUGUCACGGAGAGCCCUGUGAAACCAGGACUGUCAAAGUUGAAUUUAGCAGUAAAUUGGGAAAAGAGUGCCCAAUUGAAGAUGGCCCCGAAGUACGUACACACCGCCCGUCACCCUCUUCGAAUUAUAGCACAACCUGUUACAUAACACAAUAGCAGCCAAUGAGACGAGGAAAGUCGUAACAAGGUAAGCGUACCGGAAGGUGCGCUUGGAACAU
RNAcentral lists this non-coding RNA (990 nucleotides) under Gavialis gangeticus (Gharial). RNAcentral describes it as "12S rRNA". It matches the Rfam family "Bacterial small subunit ribosomal RNA". Lineage: Eukaryota; Metazoa; Chordata; Crocodylia; Gavialidae. The record is from RNAcentral.